ACGCACGCUGGCGGCGUGCUUAACACAUGCAAGUCGAACGGAAAGGCCCUGCUUUUGUGGGGUGCUCGAGUGGCGAACGGGUGGGUAACACGUGAGUAACCUGCCCUUGACUUUGGGAUAACUUCAGGAAACUGGGGCUAAUACCGGAUAGGAGCUCCUGCUGCAUGGUGGGGGUUGGAAAGUUUCGGCGGUUGGGGAUGGACUCGCGGCUUAUCAGCUUGUUGGUGGGGUAGUGGCUUACCAAGGCUUUGACGGGUAGCCGGCCUGAGAGGGUGACCGGCCACAUUGGGACUGAGAUACGGCCCAGACUCCUACGGGAGGCAGCAGUGGGGAAUAUUGCACAAUGGGCGGAAGCCUGAUGCAGCAACGCCGCGUGCGGGAUGACGGCCUUCGGGUUGUAAACCGCUUUCGCCUGUGACGAAGCGUGAGUGACGGUAAUGGGUAAAGAAGCACCGGCUAACUACGUG
This 467-nucleotide ribosomal RNA is filed under the name uncultured bacterium. RNAcentral's name for it is "partial 16S ribosomal RNA". It matches the Rfam family "Bacterial small subunit ribosomal RNA", at positions 29 to 507 of the family's 1533-position model. The record is from RNAcentral.